This 85-nucleotide transfer RNA is filed under the name Planctomycetota bacterium. RNAcentral describes it as "Planctomycetes bacterium (marine metagenome) tRNA-Tyr". It matches the Rfam family "tRNA". From Rfam's summary of the family: Transfer RNA (tRNA) molecules are approximately 80 nucleotides in length. Their secondary structure includes four short double-helical elements and three loops (D, anti-codon, and T loops). Further hydrogen bonds mediate the characteristic L-shaped molecular structure. tRNAs have two regions of fundamental functional importance: the anti-codon, which is responsible for specific mRNA codon recognition, and the 3' end, to which the tRNAs corresponding amino acid is attached (by aminoacyl-tRNA synthetases). tRNAs cope with the degeneracy of the genetic code in two manners: having more than one tRNA (with a specific anti-codon) for a particular amino acid; and 'wobble' base-pairing, i.e. permitting non-standard base-pairing at the 3rd anti-codon position. Lineage: Bacteria; Pseudomonadati; Planctomycetota. The record is from RNAcentral.
GGGGAGAUACCGAAGUGGUCAAACGGGGCGGAUUGUAAAUCCGCUGGCUCUGCCUACAGAGGUUCAAGUCCUCUUCUCCCCACCA